Molecule: ribosomal RNA, 233 nt
Filed under: uncultured bacterium
Lineage: Bacteria
Description: partial 16S ribosomal RNA
Rfam family: Bacterial small subunit ribosomal RNA
Source: RNAcentral
CGGGUGAGUAACGCGUGAGGAACCUGCCUCAAAGAGGGGACGAACAGUUGGAAACGACUGCUAAUACCGCAUAAGCCCACGGCUCGGCAUCGAGCAGAGGGAAAAGGAGCAAUCCGCUUUGAGAUGGCCUCGCGUCCGAUUAGCUAGUUGGUGAGGUAACGGCCCACCAAGGCGACGAUCGGUAGCCGGACUGAGAGGUUGAACGGCCACAUUGGGACUGAGACACGGCCCAG